AACAGGUUAAAUACAAGUCUUCUAAAUUUGUUUUAGGGAAACCUGCCUGUU
This 51-nucleotide transfer RNA is filed under the name Cooperia oncophora. Its description in RNAcentral is "tRNA-Ser". The record is from RNAcentral. Lineage: Eukaryota; Metazoa; Nematoda; Chromadorea; Rhabditida; Trichostrongylidae.